This 229-nucleotide ribosomal RNA is filed under the name uncultured bacterium. RNAcentral describes it as "partial 16S ribosomal RNA". It matches the Rfam family "Bacterial small subunit ribosomal RNA", at positions 568 to 796 of the family's 1533-position model. The record is from RNAcentral.
UGCGCAGGCGGGCUUGUAAGUCAGUGGUGAAAUUCUGCCGCUUAACGGUAGAACUGCCAUUGAUACUGCGAGUCUUGAAUAUGGUUGAGGUAGGCGGAAUGUGUUGUGUAGCGGUGAAAUGCAUAGAUAUGACACAGAACGCCGAUUGCGAAGGCAGCUUACUAAGCCAUUAUUGACGCUGAGGCACGAAAGCGUGGGGAGCGAACAGGAUUAGAUACCCUGGUAGUCC